Molecule: ribosomal RNA, 2008 nt
Filed under: Veillonella sp.
Lineage: Bacteria; Bacillati; Bacillota; Negativicutes; Veillonellales; Veillonellaceae
Description: partial 23S ribosomal RNA
Rfam family: Bacterial large subunit ribosomal RNA
Source: RNAcentral
UGAUCCAGAGUACCACGGGACACGUGAAACCCUGUGGGAAGCAGGAGGGACCAUCCUCCAAGGCUAAAUACUACUUAGUGACCGAUAGCGCAUAGUACCGUGAGGGAAAGGUGAAAAGAACCCCGGGAGGGGAGUGAAAUAGAACCUGAAACCCUGCGCUUACAAGCUGUGGAAGCACUUUAUAUGUGUGACCGCGUACUUUUUGUAGAACGGGCCAACGAGUUACGAUAGUAAGCUAGGUUAAGUACUUAAGGUAUGGAGCCGUAGUGAAAGCGAGUCUUAAAUGGGCGUUAAGUUUGCUGUCGUAGACCCGAAACCGAGCGACCUAUCCAUGAGCAGGAUGAAGCGAAAGUAAAAUUUCGUGGAGGUCCGAACCCACGAGCGUUGAAAAGCUCGGGGAUGACUUGUGGAUAGCGGUGAAAUUCCAAUCGAGCUCGGAGAUAGCUGGUUCUCCCCGAAAUAGCUUUAGGGCUAGCCUCAAGGUUGAGAAAUACGGAGGUAGAGCACUGAAUAUCCUAGGGGGCAUUGCGCUUACCGAAGAUUAUCAAACUCCGAAUGCCGUUAUUUUAUACUUGGGAGUCAGACUGUGGGUAAUAAGAUUCAUAGUCGAGAGGGCAACAGCCCAGAUCGUCAGCUAAGGUCCCUAAAUGUAAGUUAAGUGGUAAAGGAUGUGGGAUUGCAUAGACAACCAGGAUGUUGGCUUAGAAGCAGCCACUCAUUUAAAGAGUGCGUAAUAGCUCACUGGUCGAGUGAUCCUGCGCCGAAGAUUACCGGGGCUAAAACUUACUACCGAAGCUACGAUAUCAUUUAUGAUAGGUAGGGGAGCUUCCUAUGCAGGCUGAAGCAUGACCGUAAGGACGUGUGGACAGUAUAGGAGUGAGAAUGUUGGCAUGAGUAGCGAGACGUGGGUGAGAAUCCCACGGGCCGUAAACCCAAGGUUUCCAGGGGAAGGUUCGUCCGCCCUGGGUUAGUCGGGACCUAAGCCGAGGCCGAAAGGCGUAGGUGAUGGACAACAGGUUGAGAUUCCUGUACCACCGAUAAUCGUUUGAGAGAUGGAAUGACACAGUAGGAUAAGCUAACCACACUGUUGGUUAUGUGUGGCUAAGUACUGAGGCAGUCAAGGCAGGCAAAUCCGCCAUGAUAAUGCUGGGGUACGAUGGGGAGCGAAAUUAAGUAGCGAAGUAGCUGAUUUCACACUGUCGAGAAAAGUUUCUAUCGAGAUUAAAGGUGCCCGUACCGCAAACCGACACAGGUGGGUGAGGAGAGUAUCCUAAGGCCAGCGAGAGAACUGUUGUUAAGGAACUCGGCAAAAUGACCCCGUAACUUAGGGAGAAGGGGUGCCACGUUAGGGUUAACGCCCGAGGUGGCCGCAGAGAAUAGGCCCAAGCGACUGUUUACCAAAAACACAGGUUUCUGCUAAGUCGCAAGACGAUGUAUAGGAGCUGACGCCUGCCCGGUGCUGGAAGGUUAAGGGGAUCUGUUAGGAUUUAUCCGAAGCAGUGAACUUAAGCCCCAGUAAACGGCGGCCGUAACUAUAACGGUCCUAAGGUAGCGAAAUUCCUUGUCGGGUAAGUUCCGACCCGCACGAAAGGCGUAACGAUUUGGGGCUUGACAUUGAAUUUUGGUGCUACAUGUACAGGAUAGGUGGGAGGCUAUGAAAUCGGGACGCCAGUCUCGGUGGAGCCAUCCUUGGGAUACCACCCUUGUAGUACUGAGAUUCUAACCAGAUACCUUGAAUCAGGUAUUGGGACACUGUCAGGUGGGCAGUUUGACUGGGGCGGUCGCCUCCCAAAGAGUAACGGAGGCGCUCAAAGGUUCUCUCAGCACGGUCGGAAAUCGUGCGUAGAGUGUAAAGGCAGAAGAGAGCUUGAUUGCAAGACAUACAGGUCGAGCAAGGACGAAAGUCGGACUUAGUGAUCCGGUGGUUCCGCAUGGAAGGGCCAUCGCUCAACGGAUAAAAGCUACCCUGGGGAUAACAGGCUUAUCUCCCCCAAGAGUCCACAUCGAC